AGCUGGGAGAGCGCCUGCUUUGCACGCAGGAGGUCAGCGGUUCGAUCCCGCUAGGCUCCA
Molecule: transfer RNA, 60 nt
Filed under: Sporolactobacillus inulinus CASD
Lineage: Bacteria; Bacillati; Bacillota; Bacilli; Caryophanales; Sporolactobacillaceae
Rfam family: tRNA
About the family: Transfer RNA (tRNA) molecules are approximately 80 nucleotides in length. Their secondary structure includes four short double-helical elements and three loops (D, anti-codon, and T loops). Further hydrogen bonds mediate the characteristic L-shaped molecular structure. tRNAs have two regions of fundamental functional importance: the anti-codon, which is responsible for specific mRNA codon recognition, and the 3' end, to which the tRNAs corresponding amino acid is attached (by aminoacyl-tRNA synthetases). tRNAs cope with the degeneracy of the genetic code in two manners: having more than one tRNA (with a specific anti-codon) for a particular amino acid; and 'wobble' base-pairing, i.e. permitting non-standard base-pairing at the 3rd anti-codon position.
Source: Rfam by way of RNAcentral